GCAGUCGAACGGUAACAGGCCGCUGUGAUCCCUUCGGGGUGAACUUGGCGCNGNCNAGUGGCGGACGGGUGAGUAAUGCGUAGGGAUUUGCCUCANAGUGGGGGAUAGCCCGGAGAAAUCCGGAUUAAUACCGCAUGUGCUCUACGGAGGAAAGCGGGCCUCUACUUGUAAGCUCGCGCUUUGAGAUAAGCCUACGUCGGAUUAGCUUGUUGGUAGGGUAAUGGCCUACCAAGGCGACGAUCCGUAGCUGGUUUGAGAGGAUGAUCAGCCACACCGGAACUGAGACACGGUCCGGACUCCUACGGGAGGCAGCAGUGGGGAAUAUUGGACAAUGGGCGAAAGCCUGAUCCAGCAAUGCCGCGUGUGUGAAGAAGGCCUGCGGGUUGUAAAGCACUUUUAUCANGAAAGAAAAUCAUAGGGAUAAUACCCCUAUGCCUUGACGGUACUUGAUGAAUAAGCACCGGCUAACUCCGUGCCAGCAGCCGCGGUAAUACGGAGGGUGCAAGCGUUAAUCGGAAUUACUGGGCGUAAAGCGAGUGUAGGCGGCUUCGUAAGUCGGAUGUGAAAGCCC
RNAcentral lists this ribosomal RNA (571 nucleotides) under uncultured Gammaproteobacteria bacterium. RNAcentral's name for it is "bacterial SSU rRNA". It matches the Rfam family "Bacterial small subunit ribosomal RNA", at positions 57 to 603 of the family's 1533-position model. The record is from RNAcentral. Lineage: Bacteria; Pseudomonadati; Pseudomonadota; Gammaproteobacteria.